UCAACAGUCGUGCCGAGUUCCCUAAAGAUUUAGGGAAACGGGGGAACCAACUUUGGGUGAAUUGACCUCCUAUUCUAAGAGGGGUCAUAGGGGACCUUCAACCGAACCCUUAAGCUAACCUCGUAGGCAUUUGGAAGGGGUAUU
Paenibacillus sp. IHB B 3415 is the source of this 144-nucleotide non-coding RNA. NCBI's taxonomy places the organism in Bacteria, Bacillati, Bacillota, Bacilli, Caryophanales, Paenibacillaceae. The record is from Rfam.